UACCAACAAGCUAGAUUGUCUGCCGUGUCUUCUACUUUCUACGCAUUUCUAUUUUCUCAUUUAUUUAUUUUUUAACGUCCCGGGCUGACCUCGAGUUAGCGAGCGGGGGAAAAAAAAUGUGUCGGUUCAGCCGGCCAAUCAGAUUUAGUGGAGCGAUUGCUUUUUUCUCUUAUUGUUGUUGAUUUUUUGUCAUUAUCCAACGCCUUGAGAUAUAUUCGGGCUGGCACAGAAUAAAGCAGUAAUGGGUCAUGUGGGAUCUCCCCCCGCCAGACCCACCGCCUUAAUGCCCCCCUCCCUGUCUAGACAGUGACAGGUGUGCGUGUGUGAGCACACGCUUGUCUGUAGUUCAGAUCAGAAUAAUGAACCACGCUGAGGGUUAUGUCUAAUGGAUACUUUCAAUAUAUAAUUCAUGUGUGCGGGCCGUGUGUAGUGUACAGGCUGGAGAACGGUCAGCGUGAGCAGCUCUGCAUCUUGAAAGACAAUCUUUUCCUGACAAAGAGGUCAACUGAGGUUACGCUCGUGCAGCCCGUCUCAUAUACAAAGUCCUGCCUCCCGGGCUGCCGUGCGUAACAGGGUGAGAAAAACUUUGAAUUUUUUUUUUCUGUCAGAAGCUGCAGUCUUGAACUUUGCUUUCACAGUCCCACAGCUGUGCAGGGGAGACAGAGGUGUUCCUUCAGAUAACCACCAUCUCUCAAGCUGGGAAGGCUCCGUACGCGUAUUGUUGUGUGAACACCGUGGUGAGCACCCAGGGCACUCAGUUGACUGUGCGCGCCAUCUGCAGGACUGCGAUGUGGAUUAAUACCGCGGGUUCAACGGAGGACACCCUUCCGUCACUGCUUUGACCUACAUUAACCAGGAACACCGUAGGAACACAGCCGCCGGCCUUAAUGCGCUGCUUUGCAAGCCAGCAAUGAUGCAUGUUUCAUAAAAAUAUAUUUUUUUAAUAUUAAUUAAAAGUCAACAUUAUGUCACUUUAGGGUUAUGAGCAUAACGUCCCGUAACGGUCGAUCCGUGUGGUGCACGCCUUCCGGGUGCGAGGUUUCGGAUAUUUCGCUUGAUUAACGCGGCUCAAACCUCAGCACGUGCAGAGAGGAUUCAGCAGAAGAGAACAUUUUGUUUCAGGGAGGCUGAGAGGUUUUGAGAGCUUUGCAUGUUUGACUGGACUUGCCCUUUAUGGCAGCGCACUGUUGAAACUAUGAGGAAAAGAAAACCCCCAAAACAAAAAAACAAACAAAAAAAAAACCCCUCUAAUCCAAAAUGUGCUCUUUUGUAGAACACUUGCAAUGACAGAUAUUUUGCAAACCUUAUCACAAUAUAUGUGCUUUUAUUUUUUUUUAUAAAAUGCAGAGCAGUAAAAAUUACAAAUAUUUAAAGAAAUUACAAUGCAGUUAGGCCUGUACACCUGUUUUAUCUAAUCAAAUCACACAUUAAAAAAUAAAACACAAAAGUAGGUUCUAAAAAUAAAGUGUAAUUAGAUUACAUGUCCCUACAGUUAAAGAAUCUGAACUUUUAGGUAGCCUGUCUUAGAAAAACUAUGGUAAGAUUUAAAAAUAAGUAAAUAAAUAAUAAUAAUUUGUUGGCAAGGCCUUCCCUGAGAACUGUGAGCAGCAUAGAACUGUGCCACAAUAUAAAAUAUAGAUAAAAGAGUGCUAUAUAUAACAAAUGAUUUUAAAAUGGUCAAGCUAGCAGACAGAAAUGAACUGAAUUGUGAAAAUGUCUCAGCAGCACAGCAGUUAAGUCACUCAAGUGCACAUUUUUAGAUCUGAAUGUUGGCUUGACAUACAGAGAUGAAGGCCCAGCAGAUAAUCGAGUUCAAGGUCAUCCCAUGGCAAAACCAUGCUUUAUACUAAAUGUUUUCCUCAUAGAAACCUCAGUACGAAGUAUCAGCAAAGUCUCAGCUAAAAGAAAAACAAAUUGUAUGGAACUUUAAAUAUUUAUACAUCUAUAAAAAGAAAUGUUAAGGUGAAUCGAUUUAUUAUUUUUUUUUAAUCCAACGGCAGCUGUUAAGCUGUGGUUAUUGAUUUAAAUACUAAACCUUGCCACUUGAACCUGCUAUACAGGAAUGUUGAUUGUUAAAUUUGACUAACAUAAACUGACAGAAUGAAAUAAAAACAUGUGCGGAAUCCUCAUUCAUUUUCCCACUGAUAAAUACAAGAGUAAAAAUUCUUCCACUGACAAAACAAGAAGCAGCAUAGCUUAGAGAAAAGACUUCCCUUUUUUUUUUUUGGACAAAAUUUUGAUUUCCUUCUGCAACCCAUGUUACACACAACUGAAAAUGUUACCAACAGAGGGCGGCAAUUUGACUUCUAUUUAUGGGCAUUUAUUUAUUUGUUUAUUCAUUCAUUUAGUGUGCUUCUGUGCUGUCCACCCGUAUUCAAACACAGUCUGUGCCUCAGAUUUUCCUUCAUUUGCAAACGACCUCUGAUGGUGUUUAGUAUUUCAUAGCAGUGUGUAGUUAGAUGAUAAUGUCAGUGUAAACACUGAUUUGUUUGUGAAAUCUGUCAACAAACACACAAAAGGGUUAUACUCUUGACUGAGUUGGAAGUUUGCAAGCUAUUUAGGGCUAAAAAUGAGACAAGGCAAUUUGUUACCCUGCAGUACCUUCAACUUGAAAAUAAAUCAUUAUGGCUUCUGUAUUAGCCACGGUGUUACUGUCAUCGGUCUCGUCCUUGUGCACCUUAUUCUGUUUUAAUAUUUUCCACUCAGUGAAUGGCCUACAGGCUAUUGAUUACAGACAGUCUAGACAAUUCAUUAUGGGUUGAAUGGUGACUUGUGCAGAAUGGUUUAGGACAGGUGGAAUUAGUUUGCACUCAAUUUGCGGUGCAAUUAAAAUGUUUUUCCUGUCCAAAAUGUACCUUCCUGGGCUGGUUUAAUAUUUAUGAAAGAACAGAGUUUGUCUUAGGAUGGCUCUGUUUAUUCUUUCUCGUUGUUAUUUAAAUCUUCUUCUGUCAUGCAGGUUUUGUGUCCGAGGUUGCACUCCAGAAAGCCGUUUGUGUCCAGUUAGUCUCUGUUGGUUACAGAUAUUAGCUAACACAUGAGUUAUUGCAGAAUAAUAACACAAAAUUGGAGUCACGCAACCAUAUAAAAUUGUGUAGCACAUCAACAUGCUGAAAAUACCACAACCUUAUAUAUACAGAGUGCAGUCCUAGAGUUAACUGAAGUGGCUCUGUGUUUGGUCAGAUGUUAAGUGCUGAACAUCUUCACCGAGACCUUAUUUGUAUAUGAAGCCCUCUUUUACAAGACCAGUAAAGGCUCAAGUAUUCCACCUGUUCAUGAUCCUGUUCAGUGUCAAAAUACUUUGCCUAAAUAGACCUCCACCCUUGUUAAACCUGCCAGGGAGGCCACACCACACUCUACCACCAUUUCACCACAUCGGUGCCAGGGAAUGUCAUUGUUCUGUUUUAUCUCAAGGACAUUUCGGCAUAGAUUUGGCGUCCUGAUAAUGAGCAAAGCUAUUUGGAAACCUAGAUAGAGCCACCACCCAGCGUACCAUCCAUAGGUGCCAAAGGUGAGACACACCUUGAAACUCACAGUCACAGUUUGGCAUUUAAUCAGCAUGUUGAUUUGCAGCUGAAAACAUACAGUAUGUGCUCAAGCAUGUUGUUACACUUAAAUAGUAAGCUUCCUUACUUUGUAGGUGUCUACAACAACAACAACAAAGUGUACUCAUUUACACCCUCAAUAAAAAUUCGGUACAUACUGUACUGGAGCUCAUAUUCAGGGAAAAUGACACGUUGUGGUGAUCUGGGAGCAGCUACAACAAGGCCGUCUUUCUACUUCCUCAUACUUCACGCUUCACAUACUUUUAGUUAAAAAGAAACAACAGCGAAGACGACAUCUUUGUGUCGUCCCCCGUAAUGUUUCAUGUUCUGGACAGCCAUUAAAAUUAAAAUAGCUAACAAACUACCCAAAGCUUGCAACAUUUUGUAACGCACACUAAGUUUGCAAUGCAGAGAGCUUCUCGCUUCUCAUCUUCAAAACUGGCCGCAGGCAGAUUUGACAAGUACAGACAAUAACGUUGCUUUGUCAGAUAUUCUUAUCUCUUUUUUUGGUUAUUUGGUCUUUGGUCUUAAUUUGUCAGUUAUUGCGCCGAAAAUAACUUGUUUUUUGUGGCUGUGCAGUAUGUCAGUGACUACAUUAGUGUUACAUGUUUCAUAGAAACUCACAUGAAAUGAUCGCAGACAAGCCAGGCGAGAGAUAAAAUAAGCCUAUUCUCAUACUGUCGAAUGUUUCUCCUCCUUCUUCUUCUCCUUCCUUUCAGGCUGGGACUCCUCUCUAUUUCUACUUAAGUGUUAUCAGACUCUGCAGAAACUAUAAAACUGUACUUAUUUUAUUCAGGUCAUGUUUCAUAUGUGAGGUAAAAGGAAUACUGUAGCUCUAGUGCGUUACAGAAUAGCACCAACUGUUCCAUGAGUCAUACACCAUCUGAGGUUAACGAUGUUAGAGAAGGAAAAACAAAGAAGAAUCUGUAAAAAAAAAAAAUCAGUUGCUUGUUUUGUCAGUUUUAACUCAUCGCUAGUUUGAUUUACCCUCAUGCUGCGGUACUGCUUUUACCUCAACCUUGUGACGAAAGUGACGAAUCAGGUUUACUUUGCUGGGUAGGAAUUAAGCAAUAACUGAUACAGCAGAGAGAACAAAGGACAGUAAUUUACUCAUAAAACAACUUACAGAUGCAUGUGUCUGUGGUUAAACUCGUUUGCAUAUAUCUGAUUCAUAUGCACUAAGGAAUUGAUACCACAGUAAAUACUCGAAAUGAACCGCAUCUUGAGACUGAAUUUGUGAUAGUCUGAAACAGGGACAGCGACCAGAGUUAAACCAAAACCCUGCCUCUCUCUUGUAUCUUUUAGAAAGACAAUCGAGGUAACAUAAAUGAGUGCUGUCUUUUCGGGAACGCGGUCCAAGUGGUAUAAAUGAUUAAAAGUCUUCUUCACUUGUCUUUCAGCUCACAAGGGCCCCUGUCUGUGUCAGCCUUGUAGAUGAGAUAUAAGAAUAAUGUGCUACCGCUCUCAACAGAUUGUUCCUCACCUCCAUGCCUCGUGAUGUUAACGUGGCGAUGCGUAAAUCUUAACGUCACCCAGUUGUUCCAAAGAAGGUAAAAAGUCUGAAGAGUUAAAAAUUACAACAGAUGAAGUCACAGAGCAGAGGAUUUUCCGCUGGGGAUGCAGUUUGAGUCAUCAUCUUAUCAUUACCGUCAUUGUGUAAAUCAUGUUAGUAAGUGGAACGCCUUCAGCCCCCUGACCAUGCCUCCCUUUAGAGCUUUCAUGGAUGACCUGAUAAUAAGAGCCCUGGCUUUGUUGCCUCUUCUAAAGGCCUUGGGAAGCUCAGCGUUUGUAUAUGGCUGUUCUUCAAGUCAGUAAACUCCAGGUGUUGAAGGGGGAAAAGUGUCUGAGCAAUUUUACUUCUCCCCAGGAACCACGGACAUUCAUCCUUCAAUAACUCCUCUGUCAGAAGCUUGACCAGGACCCUGGAUGGCCUUACAGGUGUCGGAGCUGGAGCAGGUGGUAGCGGGUAUGAGAACGAACGCCAGAGCAAUUCAAAGCCUGGACCUCGACAUCUUCCCAUUUGUCCUGCUGUCAACUGCUGGGGGCUUUGAGGGGAAGGCUGCUUUCUAUUUCUGCACAUGGCCAAUUCGACCACAACCUGAAUUGUUUUGUAUGGCCAGAAGUAGAAGGUUAAACCAUUAUUCUUGAAAUUACUCAAGGGCCUCAUUCAUUUAGCACAAUGCUGAUGCCCCUUGGAUGAUGGAUGUACAAGUUACGAGGAUAAACCUAAGUAGCGCUAGAAUGAGUGUUGUUUUUUAACUUCAUAGGCCGUCCAGCCUUUGUGUAGUGAGUGUUUCCCAGAGCUUGGGAAUUUACUUGAAUGUGUGUCCAAAUAGACAAUGGUUUAAAGAUAAUCAGCUAUUAACACAAUACAUUACACUUCACAUUUCACAAUAUAAGAGAUCGAAACACUUCACUUUUGCUUUUAGUCUAGAGCUGUUCUCUUUAACUUGAUGUUGUGCGCCUGUUUGCACAUUUGGCCUUCCCUCUUGGAAGACUUAAUUUACCUUGCUUUGGAAAAAUAAAUACAUAAAAAAUCGGA
This is a long non-coding RNA of Scatophagus argus, 6084 nucleotides long. RefSeq lists it as uncharacterized. The transcript is spliced from 2 exons. The record is from RefSeq and is a predicted model, not a curated record. NCBI's taxonomy places the organism in Eukaryota, Metazoa, Chordata, Actinopteri, Scatophagidae.